Molecule: ribosomal RNA, 505 nt
Filed under: uncultured bacterium
Lineage: Bacteria
Description: bacterial SSU rRNA
Rfam family: Bacterial small subunit ribosomal RNA
Source: RNAcentral
GAGUUUGAUCCUGGCUCAGGACGAACGCUGGCGGCGCGCCUAACACAUGCAAGUCGAACGGAGUCAAGAGGAGCUUGCUUUCUCGAGCGAGUGGCGAACGGGUGAGUAACGCGUGAGGAACCUGCCUCAAAGAGGGGGACAACAGUUGGAAACGACUGCUAAUACCGCAUAAGCCCACGGUACCGCAUGGUACUGAGGGAAAAGGAUUUAUUCGCUUUAGGAUGGACUCGCGUCCGAUUAGCUAGUUGGUGAGGUAAUGGCCCACCAAGGCGACGAUCGGUAGCCGGACUGAGAGGUUGAACGGCCACAUUGGGACUGAGACACGGCCCAGACUCCUACGGGAGGCAGCAGUGGGGAAUAUUGGGCAAUGGGCGCAAGCCUGACCCAGCAACGCCGCGUGAGGGAAGAAGGUUUUCGGAUUGUAAACUCCUGUCGUUAGGGACGAUAAUGACGGUACCUAACAAGAAAGCACCGGCUAGCUACGUGCCAGCCGCCGCGGUAAUAC